Molecule: ribosomal RNA, 733 nt
Filed under: uncultured eukaryote
Lineage: Eukaryota
Description: SSU rRNA
Rfam family: Eukaryotic small subunit ribosomal RNA
Source: RNAcentral
CUCAUAGCGUAUAUUAAAGUUGUUGCAGUUAAAACGCUCGUAGUCGGAUUUCGGGGCGGGUUGCUCGGUCUGCCGAUGGGUAUGCACUGGGUGGCGCGUCCUUCCUUCCGGAGACCGCGCCUUCUCUUAACUGAGCGGGCGCGGGAGACGGAACGUUUACUUUGAAAAAAUCAGAGUGUUUCAAGCAGGCAUCUCGCUCUUGCAUGGAUUAGCAUGGGAUAAUGAAAUAGGACUUUGGUGCUAUUUUGUUGGUUUCGAACACCGAAGUAAUGAUUAACAGAGACAGUCAGGGGCACUCGUAUUCCGUCGAGAGAGGUGAAAUUCUCAGACCAACGGAAGACGAACCACUGCGAAAGCAUUUGCCAGGGAUGUUUUCACUGAUCAAGAACGAAAGUUAGGGGAUCGAAGACGAUCAGAUACCGUCGUAGUCUUAACCAUAAACCAUGCCGACUAGGGAUUCGAGGGUGUUCCAUCUGUGACCCCUUGAGCACCUUUCGGGAAACUAAAGUCUUUGGGUUCCGGGGGGAGUAUGGUCGCAAGGCUGAAACUUAAAGGAAUUGACGGAAGGGCACCACCAGGAGUGGAGCCUGCGGCUUAAUUUGACUCAACACGGGGAAACUUACCAGGUCCAGACAUUGUGAGGAUUGACAGAUUGAGAGCUCUUUCUUGAUUCAAUGGGUGGUGGUGCAUGGCCGUUCUUAGUUGGUGGAGUGAUUUGUCUGGUUAAUUCCGU